Molecule: unclassified non-coding RNA, 331 nt
Organism: Panthera pardus (leopard)
Lineage: Eukaryota; Metazoa; Chordata; Mammalia; Carnivora; Felidae
Gene: 7SK
Rfam family: 7SK RNA
About the family: 7SK was discovered as an abundant small nuclear RNA in the mid-70s but a possible function has only recently been suggested. Two independent studies have found that 7SK RNA binds the CDK9/cyclin T complex (known as elongation factor P-TEFb).
Source: Ensembl
GGAUGUGAGGGCGAUCUGGCUGCAGCAUUUGUCACCCCAUUGAUGGCCAGGGUCGAUUCAGCUAAUCUGACUGGCUAGGCAGGUGUCUCCUUCCUCCCUCACCACUCCACAUGUGUCCCUCCCAAAGCUGUGCACUACGUCAAAGAGGACGACCUUCCCUGAUGGAGGAGGACUGUUCUUCAGUCAAGGACAUACUAGUAGCUGAGCUCCCAUGCUAGAACCUCCUAAGAAGCUCUCAAGGUCCAUCUGUAGGACAACAUAGGGUAGUCAAACUUCCAAGACUCCAGACACAUCCAAAUGGGGCACUGAGUGUGGAAGUCUGCUUUUCUUU